CCUACGGGUGGCAGCAGUGGGGAAUAUUGGACAAUGGGGGCAACCCUGAUCCAGCCAUGCCGCGUGUGUGAAGAAGGCCCUCGGGUUGUAAAGCACUUUCAGUGAGGAAGAACGCCUGGUGGUUAAUACCCAUCAGGAAAGACAUCACUCACAGAAGAAGCACCGGCUAACUCCGUGCCAGCAGCCGCGGUAAUACGGAGGGGGCGAGCGUUAAUCGGAAUUACUGGGCGUAAAGCGCGCGUAGGUGGCUUGAUAAGCCGGUUGUGAAAGCCCCGGGCUCAACCUGGGAACGGCAUCCGGAACUGUCAAGCUAGAGUGCAGGAGAGGAAGGUAGAAUUCCCGGUGUAGCGGUGAAAUGCGUAGAGAUCGGGAGGAAUACCAGUGGCGAAGGCGGCCUUCUGGACUGACACUGACGCUGAGGUGCGAAAGCGUGGGGAGCAAACAGGAUUAGAUACCCGGGUAGUC
Molecule: ribosomal RNA, 465 nt
Filed under: Vreelandella stevensii
Lineage: Bacteria; Pseudomonadati; Pseudomonadota; Gammaproteobacteria; Oceanospirillales; Halomonadaceae
Description: partial 16S ribosomal RNA
Rfam family: Bacterial small subunit ribosomal RNA
Source: RNAcentral